UGCAAAGUACUGGCGCCAUGUGUC
RNAcentral lists this non-coding RNA (24 nucleotides) under Mus musculus (house mouse). The record is from RNAcentral. Lineage: Eukaryota; Metazoa; Chordata; Mammalia; Rodentia; Muridae.